Molecule: long non-coding RNA, 761 nt
Organism: Miniopterus natalensis
Lineage: Eukaryota; Metazoa; Chordata; Mammalia; Chiroptera; Miniopteridae
Source: RefSeq, a predicted model, not a curated record
AAUGGCACAAGUGAGGAGUGAAGACUAUCAAAAUAAUGCUGGAGAGGUACCCUGGAGCCAGACUGUUAAAGCCUUGAGAUACCAGUAGCCAUGGCAAUUUGGGAGGGAAGAAACUCAUGUGAGAAAUCGUUUUCAUAUCAUGUCUGCUCUGUUGGAGCAGCACUGCUUUCCAUUUAAAUGAUCAAGCCCACUGUUCUCUGAUGGAAGGACCUGCUGGUAUAGAGGCAACAUCUUGGAAGGCUGAGCACAACUACCUUAAAGAGUCACCUGGACCAGCCAUUGAUUUGUCACGAGUGAGUGAGAAAUGAACCUUUAUUGUAUUAGGCUGCUGAGGUUCGGUCACUUAACCACAGCAUCACCUAGCCUACCCUGCCUAAUACGACGAUACUUGUAGCUUGAGUCUAUCAUUGUUGCUUUCCUUGUUUGAGUGUCUCCCCCACUAAUACCUAAAGUCUGAAAAGGCAGGGAAUGCAUCUAUCAUGUCACUGUUACAUCCCCAGCACCCAGAACAGCCCUUGGGAUGUAAUACACAAUUUUAAAAUGUUUGUUAAGUAAAUGAAUAAAAUGUUCACCUAAAAUCAUCUCAUUUGUCUAUCAGCAAUGAAUGUAUGAUACUUUCUGAAAUAAUAGAAGGGGAAAUGAGACGUGUACUCCAAAAGCAAAAUCUGCUAUGUUUUCUGGGAGAACUGCUACAGUCCUGAGUGUUUAAAGGAGGGAAGUGUUUUUCUGCACUGCACUGGGAGUGAGCACUGGGGUGUGGG